RNAcentral lists this long non-coding RNA (602 nucleotides) under Vigna radiata. Its description in RNAcentral is "long non-coding RNA (VRAD_LNC001472)". The record is from RNAcentral. Lineage: Eukaryota; Viridiplantae; Streptophyta; Magnoliopsida; Fabales; Fabaceae.
UGUUCAUGAAUUUGUGAUGUCUGCAUAUAUUAGAAAAAAAAAUAAGACUUUUAAAUCUUCCAAAAGUUAUUAAAUAAGUUUUGCUACAUAACUCUUUUUAUUAUCCUUAUUGUCUUAAUUUGUAUAAAGUUCAUAUCUUUUCACAUUUUAUAUUACACGUAUUAUACUUCAUCAACUCAAAUUACAUAUGAAAAUUUACUAUUACAAGAGAUUGGAUCCAUUGUUAAUAAGUGAGCACCCAUUACCAUGAUUGAAUGGAAGAAACUUGAUUUAGAGUGAUAAAGAGGAGUUACCUUGAGUAGACGUGCAUGGAAAAACAUUAUGGUAUGAGGAAACGAUGAUUACCUCGGAGGAGUUGUUCCAUGGUGUGGAUGGCAGGGGGAGCUUUUGCAGUAGUUUCAAGCUGUCUCUGGGGGCGUUCGAGUUGAGCCAUUUCUGUGUAUGAAAGCCGGAACACAAUUUGUCUCAACCUUGUAAUAACUCUGCUUUUAUAUUUUGGUUUAUCCGUGGACAAUAAGAGGCAGAAAUUGAACAGAAAAAACGAACCGUGCUCAUGCAAUUGCUUCUGGGGUUNUUGCAGUUUGCAAUGUUGAAUAACCUCC